Molecule: ribosomal RNA, 563 nt
Filed under: uncultured Roseateles sp.
Lineage: Bacteria; Pseudomonadati; Pseudomonadota; Betaproteobacteria; Burkholderiales; Sphaerotilaceae
Description: bacterial SSU rRNA
Rfam family: Bacterial small subunit ribosomal RNA
Source: RNAcentral
AGAUACGGCCCAGACUCCUACGGGAGGCAGCAGUGGGGAAUUUUGGACAAUGGACGCAAGUCUGAUCCAGCCAUGCCGCGUGCGGGAAGAAGGCCUUCGGGUUGUAAACCGCUUUUGUCAGGGAAGAAACGAGUUUCUCUAAUACAGAGACUUAAUGACGGUACCUGAAGAAUAAGCACCGGCUAACUACGUGCCAGCAGCCGCGGUAAUACGUAGGGUGCAAGCGUUAAUCGGAAUUACUGGGCGUAAAGCGUGCGCAGGCGGUUAUGCAAGACAGAGGUGAAAUCCCCGGGCUCAACCUGGGAACUGCCUUUGUGACUGCAUAGCUAGAGUACGGCAGAGGGGGAUGGAAUUCCGCGUGUAGCAGUGAAAUGCGUAGAUAUGCGGAGGAACACCGAUGGCGAAGGCAAUCCCCUGGGCCUGUACUGACGCUCAUGCACGAAAGCGUGGGGAGCAAACAGGAUUAGAUACCCUGGUAGUCCACGCCCUAAACGAUGUCAACUGGUUGCUGGGAGGGUUUCUUCUCAGUAACGUAGCUAACGCGUGAAGUUGACCGCCUGGGG